Molecule: non-coding RNA, 74 nt
Organism: Vitis vinifera (wine grape)
Lineage: Eukaryota; Viridiplantae; Streptophyta; Magnoliopsida; Vitales; Vitaceae
Source: Rfam
ACAUUCAUGGUUGAAUGAUUAAAGUGCCCAACUUAUAAUUGGGGAAUUCCUAGGUUCAAUUCCUACUAGAUGCA